Molecule: ribosomal RNA, 266 nt
Filed under: Lepiota cortinarius
Lineage: Eukaryota; Fungi; Basidiomycota; Agaricomycetes; Agaricales; Agaricaceae
Description: partial large subunit ribosomal RNA
Rfam family: Eukaryotic large subunit ribosomal RNA
Source: RNAcentral
ACGCUUGAAGUCAGUCUCAUUGGCCAGGGAUCAGCCUUGCUCUUGCACGGUGUACUUUCUGGUUGAUGGGUCAGCAUCAAUUUUGACUGCUGGAAAAAGGCUUGGGGAAUGUGACAGCUCUGGCUGUGUUAUAGACCCUUGUCAUAUACAGCAGUUGGGAUUGAGGAACUCAGCAUGCCGCAAGGCCGGGUUUCGACCACGUUCAUGCUUAGGAUGCUGGCAUAAUGGCUUUAAUCGACCCGUCUUGAAACACGGACCAAGGAGUC